RNAcentral lists this transfer RNA (77 nucleotides) under Enterobacter cloacae. RNAcentral's name for it is "tRNA-Met". It matches the Rfam family "tRNA". From Rfam's summary of the family: Transfer RNA (tRNA) molecules are approximately 80 nucleotides in length. The record is from RNAcentral. Lineage: Bacteria; Pseudomonadati; Pseudomonadota; Gammaproteobacteria; Enterobacterales; Enterobacteriaceae.
CGCGGGGUGGAGCAGCCUGGUAGCUCGUCGGGCUCAUAACCCGAGGGUCGUCGGUUAAAAUCGGGCCCCCGCAACCA